RNAcentral lists this ribosomal RNA (689 nucleotides) under Salmonella enterica. RNAcentral's name for it is "bacterial SSU rRNA". It matches the Rfam family "Bacterial small subunit ribosomal RNA", at positions 1 to 681 of the family's 1533-position model. Lineage: Bacteria; Pseudomonadati; Pseudomonadota; Gammaproteobacteria; Enterobacterales; Enterobacteriaceae. The record is from RNAcentral.
AAAUUGAAGAGUUUGAUCAUGGCUCAGAUUGAACGCUGGCGGCAGGCCUAACACAUGCAAGUCGAACGGUAGCACAGAGAGCUUGCUCUCGGGUGACGAGUGGCGGACGGGUGAGUAAUGUCUGGGAAACUGCCCGAUGGAGGGGGAUAACUACUGGAAACGGUAGCUAAUACCGCAUAACGUCGCAAGACCAAAGUGGGGGACCUUCGGGCCUCACACCAUCGGAUGUGCCCAGAUGGGAUUAGCUAGUAGGUGGGGUAACGGCUCACCUAGGCGACGAUCCCUAGCUGGUCUGAGAGGAUGACCAGCCACACUGGAACUGAGACACGGUCCAGACUCCUACGGGAGGCAGCAGUGGGGAAUAUUGCACAAUGGGCGCAAGCCUGAUGCAGCCAUGCCGCGUGUAUGAAGAAGGCCUUCGGGUUGUAAAGUACUUUCAGCGAGGAGGAAGGCGUUGUGGUUAAUAACCACAGCGAUUGACGUUACUCGCAGAAGAAGCACCGGCUAACUCCGUGCCAGCAGCCGCGGUAAUACGGAGGGUGCAAGCGUUAAUCGGAAUUACUGGGCGUAAAGCGCACGCAGGCGGUUUGUUAAGUCAGAUGUGAAAUCCCCGGGCUCAACCUGGGAACUGCAUUUGAAACUGGCAAGCUUGAGUCUCGUAGAGGGGGGUAGAAUUCCAGGUGUAGCGG